RNAcentral lists this ribosomal RNA (571 nucleotides) under Diodon liturosus (black-blotched porcupinefish). RNAcentral describes it as "partial 16S ribosomal RNA". It matches the Rfam family "Bacterial large subunit ribosomal RNA", at positions 1816 to 2597 of the family's 2925-position model. The record is from RNAcentral. Lineage: Eukaryota; Metazoa; Chordata; Actinopteri; Tetraodontiformes; Diodontidae.
CGCCUCUUGCAAACAACAAAUAAGAGGUCCCGCCUGCCCUGUGACUAUAUGUUUAACGGCCGCGGUAUUUUGACCGUGCGAAGGUAGCGCAAUCACUUGUCCUUUAAAUGGGGACCUGUAUGAAUGGCAUAACGAGGGCUUAACUGUCUCCUCUUUCAAGUCAAUGAAAUUGAUCUCUCCGUGCAGAAGCGGGGAUACCGCCAUAAGACGAGAAGACCCUGUGGAGCUUUAGACACCAAGACAGACCAUGUUAAAGACCCUAAAACAAAAGACUAAACUCAAUGCCCCCUGCCCUGAUGUCUUCGGUUGGGGUGACCGAGGAGAAGAACACAACCUCCAUGCGGAAUAGGAGUACUACUCCCACAACCACGAACCCCCGUUCUAGCUACCAGAAUUUCUGACCCUAUGAUCCGGCAACGCCGAUUAACGAACCAAGUUACCCCAGGGAUAACAGCGCAAUCCCCUUUUAGAGCCCCUAUCAACAAGGGGGUUUACGACCUCGAUGUUGGAUCAGGACAUCCUAAUGGCGCAGCCGCUAUUAAGGGUUCGUUUGUUCAACGAUUAAAGUCCU